Molecule: non-coding RNA, 1667 nt
Organism: Paramuricea clavata
Lineage: Eukaryota; Metazoa; Cnidaria; Anthozoa; Malacalcyonacea; Plexauridae
Source: the annotation of a GenBank genome assembly
CUCUUCUAUAUGUUUGUAAAUUACUAAAUUGUAUAUAUCAAAUUACUUUAAUCUCCUCAACUAUCCUGAUAAUGAGUAAAACGUAGUCGAAAACUAGAAUAUAUUAAAAACGGAGUUACGGUUGCUUUGUACAUACCUGACUGAUCAAGUACAACUACAGGCGCAUCGUCGUCUAACAUUUUUUAUUUUUACAACAAAUUUCGAGUGUUAAGCGAUUCUAACGUACUGUCCACCUCCAAUAACAAGCUGUUGCAACAAGCUAUGGAAGCAAAAUACUUCUUCCAUAAUUAACAGUCAAACCGGAUAUUUUUUGCGAGUAACUUUGCAAUGUGCGUCAAAUUAUAUAUUAAAGCGUCAUCAAUUUAAUGUGAAAAUUGCUCGGAUGUGCAAUUAUCUGUUCGAAGGGCAGAUUUAUUUUAUGAUAGGAUUGCAGCUCUAGUGCCCGGUAAUGUAGCAGCUUGAAUAAGAUUGUUUUUUAUUGGUCAGAGUACUAAUUGGGUAGCGAAGGUAGCAGCUUGAAUAAGAUUGUUUUUUAUUGGUCAGAGUACUAAUUGGGUAGCGAAGGUAGCAAACCAAUAGGAAGCCAGAGACUGUCAACAUUUACCUUUGAACUUCCGGUUUAUUUGUAAGAUGAACAAGCAACUGGCCAAGAAAUUGAGCAAAAAUAUAGCUGAGAAUACCCGAGUCUUUGUUUCUAAACUUGAAUGUAUUAAUAAAUCGUUCUGUGUAUGCAAUGUAAGUAUCAUUUAAUAAUGAGUAGCGUAAAGAUGUAAACGCACUUUUUGCGGCUUAUUACAGUAAAAGCAAGUAUUGUAUUGUUUGUCACGUUGUUAAAUUCGCUAAACUUCUGUGUGAAUGUGAUAGACUACCUGGCGUUCCCUCGAAACGUCGAAGUUUUGUCUAUUUAUUUUCAGGUAGGCUGUCACAUUCACACCAAGAUUUACGCAGAUGUUUUAUCGAAGAUUCUACCAGCGGUCAAGCGGCAAGCGUUCGAGAUAAAUUCGCUAAUAUUGCAUAAAAACACGAUGUAGUUAUAUUAUAUCUAUUUCACUUUAUAGAAUGUUUAUCUACAGCUGCACCCAAGACGAAAUACAUUAAUCCGUGUUCGUGUUGUCAGCAAGUAGUUGGAUAGUUUUUUCCACCGGCACAUAAUUUCGUGAACAAAGACGAGACAUAGGCCUAUUUUAAAAACGAUGUUGACAACAUUAUGUUGACAACAACAUACUGUACAGUAUUAAUGUUGUCUUUUUAUAAAUUAUAGUUGUACAUUUGCCUUUUUAUGUCAAUUACAGUAAACUUUAUUUCAAUUUAAUAUCGUGUGAUUUCACCACAUACUUGAAUCAGGUUGUUUUACAUUAUAUGAUUAUACUUUGUCAGUUUAUAUAAUUUUUAAACCGAAAUCCUCACAUGUAUGAUGUAUCCUCCGGACCACACAACUCACAAGUUAAACAUGUGUUAAUCAGAUACACAUGACACCAUUAGGUAGCCUUAUGGAGAUACCUAAUAGGAUAUGGAAACACAGCUAGUAGCUAUUGCAAAACUAAAAGGUAUAAAUUGUGAUGAACAAAAAUAAAAUAUAUAUGUUUCUCAUAGACAUAGGGAUGCCAGAGAGAGGGGCAAAUCUGCUCUUUUCUAAGGGGGCUGAAGUGCCCUUUUAAUGUAACGUG